This 464-nucleotide ribosomal RNA is filed under the name Campylopus oerstedianus. RNAcentral describes it as "5.8S ribosomal RNA". Lineage: Eukaryota; Viridiplantae; Streptophyta; Bryopsida; Dicranales; Leucobryaceae. The record is from RNAcentral.
CAAGUUGCGUUCAAAGACUCGAUGAUUCGCGGAAUUCUGCAAUUCACACUACGUAUCGCAUUUCGCUGCGUUCUUCAUCGUUGCAGGAGCCAAGAUAUCCGUUGCUGAGAGUUGUGUUCUUUUUUAUUGUUAAAUCUCGUUCCGUUCCUCCCUCGUCUUCUUUUCUCUCUUCUUCUUCUUCUCUCUAUUAUAUAUCUAGAAUAAUAAUAGGAGAAGAAGAAGAGAGAGAGAAGAGAAGAGAGAAGGGAGAAGAGGAACGCGAUUCGGGACUCAGUCAUAUUGUAAGUGAUUCUUGCGCAUGCAUGGUGGGUUUUCCUUGAUCAUCCGAUUCGGUUCCUCCAAGUCCCAUCCAGAGCCCCACCUACCUGCGCAGUUUGGAUUUUUCCAUACCCCCGGAGGAAGAAAAUCUGGGAUGAUGAAAAUGUGAUGAUGAUGAGAGUGACGAUGUGGGUCGCUAGACAGUA